RNAcentral lists this transfer RNA (77 nucleotides) under Oxalobacteraceae bacterium. RNAcentral's name for it is "tRNA-Asp". It matches the Rfam family "tRNA". Rfam says of the family: Transfer RNA (tRNA) molecules are approximately 80 nucleotides in length. Their secondary structure includes four short double-helical elements and three loops (D, anti-codon, and T loops). Lineage: Bacteria; Pseudomonadati; Pseudomonadota; Betaproteobacteria; Burkholderiales; Oxalobacteraceae. The record is from RNAcentral. RNAcentral also lists the same sequence under 1 other name.
GGAGCGUUAGAAUAGUUGGUUAAUUCGCCACCCUGUCACGGUGGAGAUCACGGGUUCAAGUCCCGUACGCUUCGCAA